GCUGCGCACUUCGGUCUUUUACGUCGGCCUUCGCGAGCGUCUGGGCGGGUGGUAGGAACAAUGGCGCUGUCUUCAGUGGCACAGUGGAGCAGCUCUGAAGAUGCAAAGGUAAGAGCUUAGUUAAGCUUAGUUUCCAAACUAAAGGAGUAAACCUGUUGAUUUACAGGAAUAGGAACUGUUGCAUCGUUUGAAAUUUACUUUUUUUUGUUAGAUACACGAAAAAACUUCCAGAACAUCUGGGAGAAUAUUUAAUGGAAAAUCGCUUGGUUAAAACCUGACACUUUUAACAGGUAUGUGUUGUUUUAGUACUUUAUGAUUGAGCAUAGCAUUUAAUCCACACCUAGACUAAAUCAAAUUUUUUUUGUCAGUGAACAGCGUUCUGAGUGUGGACGAGUAGCCAGUGAAGAUAAUGAAUGUCGAAUGUGACUGACUAGCAGCUUCAUUUUGAAUGAGGGUCGCUGUCUGCCCAUUGAUAGAGGCCAGAUUGUCUUGGAAGUUCCAAAGUUGCAACGAUUUCUGGCUAGUGCCACGAGGUUUACUUGACUGUUGUGUGAAAAGCUGAUAAGAAAACCAUCCAGAAAAAAGCUCUUCGUUUUACAAACAUGAAAAUAAAACAUGUAAUUUUGGAUUAUGUUCCUUUUUGUUAUUACUUUUAAAUAGGUCCUGAAAUAACAUGGGGAGCAUUAAAUGGAAAAUCCACUAA
RNAcentral lists this long non-coding RNA (703 nucleotides) under Homo sapiens (human). RNAcentral's name for it is "small nucleolar RNA host gene 5". Lineage: Eukaryota; Metazoa; Chordata; Mammalia; Primates; Hominidae. The record is from RNAcentral.